AGAGAGAGACAUGCGCGCAUAUCAAUAAGCGGAGGAAAAGAAACUAACAAGGAUUCCCCUAGUAACGGCGAGUGAAGCGGGAAGAGCUCAAAUUUGAAAUCUUCAAGGUUUUACCUUGACGAAUUGUAGUUUAAAGAAGUGUUUUCGGUUAGAGGAGUAGUAAAAGUUCUUUGGAAUAGGACAUCAUAGAGGGUGAGAAUCCCGUAUUUGACUAUUCUUUCUAGCUUUGUGAUACACUUUCAAAGAGUCGGAUUGUUUGGGAAUGCAGUCCAAAAUGGGUGGUAAAUUUCAUCUAAAGCUAAAUAUUGGCGAGAGACCGACAGCGAACAAGUACCGUGAGGGAAAGAUGAAAAGAACUUUGAAAAGAGAGUUAAACAGUACGUGAAAUUGUCAAAAGGGAAGCGUUUGACACCAGUGUUGUUUUUCCGAAAAUCAAUUAAAAAUGGAUUCAUGCUAGGUAGUAUUGACUUCAUCGGCUUGCUGCUUAGUUUUGGGUUCUUUUUUGAUGCACUUUUCGGUUAACAAGUCAACAUCAAUUUCUUUUGCUGUAAAAGGGUAAGGGGAAGGUGGCUUUAGCUUCGGUUAAAGUGUUUAUAGCCUUUUACCUCUGCAGUCGGAGAGAUUGAGGUCUGCAGCGUAGAUCCUUCGGGGUUAGAUACAGUUUGUGCUAAGUUAUAGCUUUGUCAUAGACAACAUUGUUGACUAUGAUCAGUCAUGUAGCUUACUCGCAUGAUAGCUAUUUUACCUACGCUUAGGAUGUUGACAGCAGUAAGACUGU
Molecule: ribosomal RNA, 778 nt
Filed under: uncultured Neocallimastigales
Lineage: Eukaryota; Fungi; Neocallimastigomycota; Neocallimastigomycetes; Neocallimastigales
Description: partial large subunit ribosomal RNA
Rfam family: Eukaryotic large subunit ribosomal RNA
Source: RNAcentral